This 497-nucleotide ribosomal RNA is filed under the name uncultured bacterium. RNAcentral's name for it is "partial 16S ribosomal RNA". It matches the Rfam family "Bacterial small subunit ribosomal RNA", at positions 28 to 507 of the family's 1533-position model. The record is from RNAcentral.
GAUGAACGCUGGCGGCGUGCCUAAUACAUGCAAGUCGAGCGAACAGACGAGGAGCUUGCUCCUCUGACGUUAGCGGCGGACGGGUGAGUAACACGUGGAUAACCUACCUAUAAGACUGGGAUAACUUCGGGAAACCGGAGCUAAUACCGGAUCAUAUAUUGAACCGCAUGGUUCAAUAGUGAAAGACGGUUUUGCUGUCACUUAUAGAUGGAUCCGCGCCGCAUUAGCUAGUUGGUAAGGUAACGGCUUACCAAGGCGGCGAUGCGUAGCCGACCUGAGAGGGUGAUCGGCCACACUGGAACUGAGACACGGUCCAGACUCCUACGGGAGGCAGCAGUAGGGAAUCUUCCGCAAUGGGCGAAAGCCUGACGGAGCAACACCGCGUGAGUGAAGAAGGUCUUCGGAUCGUAAAACUCUGUUAUUAGGAAAGAAAAAAUGUGUAAGUAACUAUGCACGUCUUGACGGUACCUAAACAGAAAGCCACGGCUAACUACGUG